Molecule: non-coding RNA, 602 nt
Organism: Cicer arietinum (chickpea)
Lineage: Eukaryota; Viridiplantae; Streptophyta; Magnoliopsida; Fabales; Fabaceae
Source: RefSeq, a predicted model, not a curated record
UCCAGAUUACCAUCUCACUCUCUCCAUGAGAACACCAUCUUCAUCCUUUCGUCUUCCUCUCCUUAGGCUUCAUUCUUACUUAUUCCUCUGAAUAUUUUGAUCUCAUCAUCCAUUCUCAGAUCUCAUAUUGAUUAACCUUUUGUUGCUUUAUUUCCCUCUCUAUCUCAUCUCACAAUCGUAAAUGGAGAGAUUGAGAAUAAUAGACAUAGAAGAAAACUCGAAGUCACUAAUAAAAAGUAUUCUUUAAAAGGUUAUGAUUUUUGUUAGGUUUUUUUUUUUUAAUUUAUGUUCGGCAUUUCUGUUUCUUAACAUGUGAUUUGACUAACAUGUAUUUUUUAUCUUGUGAAGCCAUGGAUCGAACCAUACUUUCUUGGUUGAAAGCUCAAAGUCACAGGAUCUCAUAUAGAAGAACAAGAUGCAGAAGCCUUAGCCUUCAUGUUGAAUUCAACUAUUAAAGAUUUAUUAUGCACCAAUGUUCAUAGUGUGUUCAUAGUGUUAUUGUUUUAUGUUUAUGUUAAUUAAAAUGUUUAUUUGAUAUUGUAAUAAAUUAUAUUUAUUUUUACCUAUAAUAGUGGAACUCUAAGCAAGUCAAAAUCCUUUAA